This 1749-nucleotide ribosomal RNA is filed under the name Triticum aestivum (bread wheat). RNAcentral describes it as "partial small subunit ribosomal RNA". Lineage: Eukaryota; Viridiplantae; Streptophyta; Magnoliopsida; Poales; Poaceae. The record is from RNAcentral.
AUGGAAAAACAAUUUGCCAUCUCAAAGCUUGGGUCGGACGCGUUCGUGGAGAUGGAGCUCGGGGCGCCGGUGCUCGUCCCGGAUCCCGACGGCGACUUCACCGUCACCGCCUUCGACGCCAACCACUGCCCUGGGGCGGUGAUGUUUCUGUUCGAGGGCGCCUUCGGCAACGUCCUGCACACCGGCGACUGCCGCCUCACUUCUGACUGCAUUCAGGGCCUGCCGUUCAGGUACAUCGCCGCGGAGGCACCAGGAGCAAGUCAGCCACCGCCGUCGUGCCGCAUUGACUACCUCUUCCUGGACUGCACGUUUGCCAAGUGCCCGCUGCAAUUCCCGGCCAAGGAGGCCUCCAUACGUCAGGUGAUCAAUUGCAUCUGGAAGCACCCGAAUGCGCCGACGGUAUAUCUCGUGUCCGACAUGCUGGGACAGGAGGACAUACUGAUCGAGGUGUCCAGGGCGUUCGGGUCGAAGAUAUACGUCGACAGGGACAAGAAUUCAGAGUGCUACCACACCCUCUCGCUCGUCGCACCGGAAAUCCUCACCGAGGACGCGUCCUCUCGCUUUCAGUGGUACGCGCACUAUGCGGCACCAGAGGCGUCGCUGAAGCAGAAGCCGGCGCUGACGGAGCCCAUGCGGGAUGAAUUCGGGGUGUGGCACGUGUGCUUGACGAUGCAUUCGUCUCGCGAGGAGCUGGAGCAGGCCCUGCGAUUCCUCCAGCCUAAGUGGGUCAUCUCGACAACACCUCCUUGCCUUGCCAUGGAUCUGGCCUAUGUCAAGAAACACUGCUUCCUGUCCCGGCUAAGCCCUGAGGACCCCAUCUGGAAGUUGCUCAGAAUACCUCAUGGAAAUCCUACUGUCACAGGCUCACCGCGGGCGGCGAUAACCACCGUAGAAGCCAUCAAGCAGAGUGAGGAACAAGAGUCAGAAGACACUUGGUCUGCUGUUUGCAGCCAGGUAUUACAAGAUGAAGAACCAGUGUUACAAGAUUUUGCAAUUGAAGUGGCGCAGCCUGUGACAUUGUUUGGCAGAGCAAGGUUUGGAUUACCUCAGGACUGUGAACUGUGGAAAGACGAGUAUGAGAGUGUUCAAGUGGCCGAGGAGGCCAAAUUGGAGGAGGAAUUGCAGAAUUCAAAUGCAAAAUCCUUCGAGCUAUGGAAGGACUUCAAAUCUGACAAGGGCACUGCCCACAUGAUUGAUUUAACUCAAGCUGUAACAAACGAGCUUCAUGGUUCAGCAAUAGAACCCGAGUUGCAGGACUGUGAAUCCAUCGACGGCAUUCAAGUAAUCGACAUUACUCACGGUGAAGUGCGUGAGCACAGCUCGAGUAGGGACGGCUGUGCUGAACUUGCCAAGGAUGUGAAAUGCAAUGAGGGUGCAGAACAAAUCAGGUUAUCUAGAUUCGAGGUGAAAGAAGAGAGUUCAACUGCAAGAGCCAAGUUCUUGGAAAUUUGCAAGCCCAGGGAGAGUGUCAAAUUCACCGCUGAGACAGUACAAGCUAAAGUAGAAGCAACAGAAGAACUGCUUUCUGAGGAUCGCACUGUUCUAUCCGACAUUAGCAACAGAUCUGAAGGCCCUGACACUGACAGAGCAGAUACUGCUGGAGUCGGGUCAUCGAAGGUUUUGAAUGCGAAGCUGAGGAGGCUGUACAGGUCGAUGAACGUGGCAGUUCCUCGGCCAUUGCCGUCAUUGGUGGAGCUCAUGGGAGCCUCCAAACGACCAAGGGUCUCCUCCCAGUUUUUUCAUCUAUGA